Molecule: ribosomal RNA, 540 nt
Filed under: uncultured Geobacteraceae bacterium
Lineage: Bacteria; Pseudomonadati; Thermodesulfobacteriota; Desulfuromonadia; Geobacterales; Geobacteraceae
Description: bacterial SSU rRNA
Rfam family: Bacterial small subunit ribosomal RNA
Source: RNAcentral
GAGUUKGAUCCUGGYUCARAACGAACGCUGGCGGCKUGCCUAACACAUGCAAGUCGAACGUGAUCCAWAGCUUGCUCUGGUGAAAGUGGCGCACGGGUGAGUAACGCGUGGAUAACCUACCCUGGUAUCCGGGAUAACAUUCCGAAAGGGGUGCUAAUACCGGAUAAGCCCACGGGCUCUUUGGAGCUUGCGGGAAAAGGUGGCCUCUAUUUAUAAGCUACUGUAUCAGGAUGGGUCCGCGUACCAUUAGCUAGUUGGCGGUGUAACGGACCACCAAGGCGACGAUGGUUAGCUGGUCUGAGAGGAUGAUCAGCCACACUGGAACUGAGACACGGUCCAGACUCCUACGGGAGGCAGCAGUGGGGAAUUUUGCGCAAUGGGGGAAACCCUGACGCAGCAACGCCGCGUGAGUGAUGAAGGYCUUUGGGUCGUAAAGCUCUGUCAGAGGGGAAGAAAUGAUAUAGUGCUAAUACYACUUUAUCUUGACGGUACCCUCAAAGGAAGCACCGGCUAACUCCGUGCCAGCAGCCGCGGUAAUAC